GUAGGAAGUCGUUUCUUGAGUAAGGCUUCUCGAGGGUAAGAGACUGCUGUUCAAGCUGAAGUCGCCUGAUUCACGUUCUGAACAGAUACAAGUGGAGUGGAAAGAUAGACUACUCAUUGACUAGCGAUGGAAGUUUUAUCAGGUGAAGAUUUUGCGGUAGGGGAACUCAUUCGAGCGUUCCUGAACUGUGAAACUGUGUAUCUUGUCAAACUAGAGUCAGUAAAAAUUCGUCUAGCCUAUUCAACCAUUCAUGGAAGGCGAGUAAUAGUCUUGGCUGCUGGUUCAAUUCAACUCCACACUGUAUCAAGCACAUUUCUCAACACAAAACAUGUAAAACUUGAUUCUAGCAUUUGGCAGUGCAUGUGUUGAGCGAUUCCUUGCAACU
This is a long non-coding RNA of Corticium candelabrum, 385 nucleotides long. RefSeq lists it as uncharacterized. NCBI's taxonomy places the organism in Eukaryota, Metazoa, Porifera, Homoscleromorpha, Homosclerophorida, Plakinidae. The transcript has 3 exons. The record is from RefSeq and is a predicted model, not a curated record.